This 433-nucleotide ribosomal RNA is filed under the name uncultured bacterium. RNAcentral describes it as "bacterial SSU rRNA". It matches the Rfam family "Bacterial small subunit ribosomal RNA", at positions 29 to 481 of the family's 1533-position model. The record is from RNAcentral.
AUUGAACGCUGGCGGCAUGCUUUACACAUGCAAGUCGAACGGCAGCGGGGGCUUCGGCCCGCCGGCGAGUGGCGAACGGGUGAGUAAUGCAUCGGAACGUGCCCAGUCGUGGGGGAUAACUACGCGAAAGCGUAGCUAAUACCGCAUACGUCCUGAGGGAGAAAGCGGGGGAUCUUCGGACCUCGCGCGAUUGGAGCGGCCGAUGUCGGAUUAGCUAGUUGGUGAGGUAAAGGCUCACCAAGGCGACGAUCCGUAGCUGGUCUGAGAGGAUGAUCAGCCACACUGGGACUGAGACACGGCCCAGACUCCUACGGGAGGCAGCAGUGGGGAAUAUUGGACAAUGGGCGAAAGCCUGAUCCAGCCAUGCCGCGUGAGUGAUGAAGGCCCUAGGGUUGUAAAGCUCUUUCAGUGGGGAAGAUAAUGACGGUACCCA